RNAcentral lists this long non-coding RNA (598 nucleotides) under Malus domestica (apple). RNAcentral describes it as "long non-coding RNA (MDOM_LNC005555)". Lineage: Eukaryota; Viridiplantae; Streptophyta; Magnoliopsida; Rosales; Rosaceae. The record is from RNAcentral.
GAAAGAAGAAAAGAGAGAGAGAGAGAGAUUUGGAGUAAAAGGGGAGGAGGGAGGGGAAAAAAUGAGUGAGUUUAAGUUUAAAACUCUAAAAACUCAAUUUUUAUAUUUUUAGAGAAUAGACUAUAUUUUUGAAUUAGUCUUAAGUUCAGUUUUUGCAAAUAAUCCUACCAAACAAGUUUUUAAGGCUUAAAAUUUGAAAAUUAUUUUUGAGUUUAAAAGGUUGGAUUCAAGUAGAGUACCAAAUAUGGCUUUAUUAUUUAUAUAAUAAUUUCCAUAAGUUGACAGACUUUUCAGCUACAUUUCUUUUCCAAUAGAUUUUUAUUAGGAAAACUAAUGAAAAUGGCUUGAAAACUUUGAGUUUUAAUGAUAAGGACAAAAUAAAAGGUAAAGUAAAUAGUACCAGGAUUGACUUUUUAAUGUAAAAAUGUGGUUUUUCGUUAAAGUGAACAGUACCGGGUGCUUUUCGUUAAAGUUCCAAUUUUUAUUUGGGAUAUGUACAACAGUACAAGUCGCAUUUGCUUGACUGAAAUUGACCGACCCAACUGAUCAUCUUUGUCCUGUUGUCCUCGCCCCUUCCUGGCUUGUUUCAAGGUUCUGG